This 497-nucleotide ribosomal RNA is filed under the name uncultured bacterium. RNAcentral's name for it is "partial 16S ribosomal RNA". It matches the Rfam family "Bacterial small subunit ribosomal RNA", at positions 28 to 507 of the family's 1533-position model. The record is from RNAcentral.
GAUGAACGCUGGCGGCGUGCCUAAUACAUGCAAGUCGAGCGAACAGACGAGGAGCUUGCUCCUCUGACGUUAGCGGCGGACGGGUGAGUAACACGUGGAUAACCUACCUAUAAGACUGGGAUAACUUCGGGAAACCGGAGCUAAUACCGGAUAAUAUAUUGAACCGCAUGGUUCAAUAGUGAAAGACGGUUUUGCUGUCACUUAUAGAUGGAUCCGCGCCGCAUUAGCUAGUUGGUAAGGUAACGGCUUACCAAGGCAACGAUGCGUAGCCGACCUGAGAGGGUGAUCGGCCACACUGGAACUGAGACACGGUCCAGACUCCUACGGGAAGCAGCAGUAGGGAAUCUUCCGCAAUGGGCGAAAGCUUGACGGAGCAACGCCGCGUGAGUGAUGAAGGUCUUCGGAUCGUAAAACUCUGUUAUUGGGGAAGAACAAAUGUGUAAGUAACUAUGCACUUCUUGACGGUACCUAAUCAGAAAGCCACGGCUAACUACGUG